UCUGGUAAUGAUGGCAGAGAGGUCACACCCGUUCCCAUACCGAACACGGAAGUUAAGCUCUCUAGCGCCGAUGGUAGUUGGGACUUUGUCCCUGUGAGAGUAGGACGUUGCCAGGC
This 116-nucleotide ribosomal RNA is filed under the name Bacillus cereus. RNAcentral also lists the same sequence under 29 other names. Lineage: Bacteria; Bacillati; Bacillota; Bacilli; Caryophanales; Bacillaceae. The record is from RNAcentral.